This 882-nucleotide ribosomal RNA is filed under the name uncultured Sporidiobolales. RNAcentral's name for it is "SSU rRNA". It matches the Rfam family "Eukaryotic small subunit ribosomal RNA", at positions 564 to 1472 of the family's 1831-position model. Lineage: Eukaryota; Fungi; Basidiomycota; Microbotryomycetes; Sporidiobolales. The record is from RNAcentral.
GUGCCAAGCAGCCGCGGUAAUUCCAGCUCCAAUAGCGUAUAUUAAAGUGNUUGCCGUUAAAAAGCUCGUAGUCGAACUUCGGCGCCUGAUGGCCGGUCCGCCUUCUUGGUGUGUACUUGCUCAUCGGGCGCUUACCUCCUGGUGAACUCUGAUGUCCUUUACUGGGUGUCAGAGCAAACCAGGACGUUUACUUUGAAAAAAUUAGAGUGUUCAAAGCAGGCCUACGCCCGAAUACAUUAGCAUGGAAUAAUAGAAUAGGACGCGCGUUCCCAUUUUGUUGGUUUCUGAGAUCGCCGUAAUAAUUAAUAGGGAUAGUUGGGGGCAUUUGUAUUCCGUCGUCAGAGGUGAAAUUCUUGGAUUGCCGGAAGACAAACUACUGCGAAAGCAUUUGCCAAGGAUGUUUUCAUUGAUCAAGAACGAAGGAAGGGGGAUCGAAAACGAUCAGAUACCGUUGUAGUCUCUUCUGUAAACUAUGCCAAUUGGGGAUUAGCACAGGAUUUUCAAUGACUGUGUUAGCACCCGAAGAGAAAUCUUUAAAUGAGGUUCGGGGGGGAGUAUGGUCGCAAGGCUGAAACUUAAAGGAAUUGACGGAAGGGCACCACCAGGUGUGGAGCCUGCGGCUUAAUUUGACUCAACACGGGGAAACUCACCAGGUCCAGACACAAUAAGGAUUGACAGAUUGAUAGCUCUUUCUUGAUCUUGUGGUUGGUGGUGCAUGGCCGUUCUUAGUUGGUGGAGUGAUUUGUCUGGUUAAUUCCGAUAACGAACGAGACCUUAACCUGCUAAAUAGACCAGUCGACUUUGGUUGACUGCUGUCUUCUUAGAGGGACUAUCAGCGUUUAGCUGAUGGAAGUUUGAGGCAAUAACAGGUCUGUGAUGCCC